AUUGAACGCUGGCGGCAUGCCUAACACAUGCAAGUCGAACGGUAACAGGCCUACGGUUGCUGACGUGCGGCGAAGGGGUGGGUAAUGGAUCGGAAUGUACCAAGAGGCGGGGGGUAACGCAGCAAAUGCUGUGCUCAGACCGCAUGUGAGCUGAGGAUGGAAGCGGGGGACCGGGCAGCAAUGGUUCGCCUCGCGCCUUUGUAGCGGCAGAUGUCGGAUUAGCUAGUUGGUGGGGUAAAGGCCUACCAAGGCGACGAUCCGUAGCUGGUCUGAGAGGAUGACCAGCCACACUGGGACUGAGACACGGCCCAGACUCCUACGGGAGGCAGCAGUGGGGAAUGUUGGACAAUGGGCGCAAGCCUGAUCCAGCAAUGCCGCGUGCGGGAAGAAGGCCUUCGGGUUGUAAACCGCUUUUGGCAGGAACGAAACGGUGUCCGCUAAUACCGGGCGCUAAUGACGGUACCUGCAGAAUAAGCACCGGCUAACUACGUG
RNAcentral lists this ribosomal RNA (492 nucleotides) under uncultured bacterium. RNAcentral describes it as "partial 16S ribosomal RNA". It matches the Rfam family "Bacterial small subunit ribosomal RNA", at positions 29 to 507 of the family's 1533-position model. The record is from RNAcentral.